RNAcentral lists this ribosomal RNA (497 nucleotides) under uncultured bacterium. RNAcentral describes it as "partial 16S ribosomal RNA". It matches the Rfam family "Bacterial small subunit ribosomal RNA", at positions 28 to 507 of the family's 1533-position model. The record is from RNAcentral.
GAUGAACGCUGGCGGCGUGCCUAAUACAUGCAAGUCGAGCGAACAGACGAGGAGCUUGCUCCUCUGACGUUAGCGGCGGACGGGUGAGUAACACGUGGAUAACCUACCUAUAAGACUGGGAUAACUUCGGGAAACCGGAGCUAAUACCGGAUAAUAUAUUGAACCGCUUGGUUCGAUAGUGAAAGACGGUUUUGCUGUCACUUAUAGAUGGAUCCGCGCCGCAUUAGCUAGUUGGUAAGGUAACGGCUUACCAAGGCAACGAUGCGUAGCCGACCUGAGAGGGUGAUCGGCCACACUGGAACUGAGACACGGUCCAGACUCCUACGGGAGGCAGCAGUAGGGAAUCUUCCGCAAUGGGCGAAAGCCUGACGGAGCAACGCCGCGUGAGUGAUGAAGGUCUUCGGAUCGUAAAACUCUGUUAUUAGGGAAGAACAAAUGUGUAAGUAACUAUGCACGUCUUGACGGUACCUAAUCAGAAAGCCACGGCUAACUACGUG